Molecule: ribosomal RNA, 467 nt
Filed under: uncultured bacterium
Lineage: Bacteria
Description: partial 16S ribosomal RNA
Rfam family: Bacterial small subunit ribosomal RNA
Source: RNAcentral
GACGAACGCUGGCGGCGUGCUUAACACAUGCAAGUCGAACGGAAAGGCCUCUUUCGGGGGGUACUCGAGUGGCGAACGGGUGAGUAACACGUGAGUAACCUGCCCUUGACUUUGGGAUAACUUCAGGAAACUGGGGCUAAUACCGGAUAGGAGCUCCUGCUGCAUGGUGGGGGUUGGAAAGUUUCGGCGGUUGGGGAUGGACUCGCGGCUUAUCAGCUUGUUGGUGGGGUAGUGGCUUACCAAGGCUUUGACGGGUAGCCGGCCUGAGAGGGUGACCGGCCACAUUGGGACUUAGAUACGGCCCAGACUCCUACGGGAGGCAGCAGUGGGGAAUAUUGCACAAUGGGUGGAAGCCUGAUGCAGCAACGCCGUGUGCGGGAUGACGGCCUUCGGGUUGGAAACCGCUUUCGCUCAUGACGAAGCUUUGUGUGACGGUAGUGGGUAAAGAAGCACCGGCUAACUACGUG